CAGUCGCCGCGGUAAUACGUAGGUGGCAAGCGUUGUCCGGAAUUAUUGGGCGUAAAGGGCUCGCAGGCGGUUUCUUAAGUCUGAUGUGAAAGCCCCCGGCUCAACCGGGGAGGGUCAUUGGAAACUGGGAAACUUGAAUGCAGAAGAGGAGAGUGGAAUUCCACGUGUAGCGGUGAAAUGCGUAGAGAUGUGGAGGAACACCAGUGGCGAAGGCGACUCUCUGGUCUGUAACUGACGCUGAGGAGCGAAAGCGUGGGGAGCGAACAGGAUUAGAUACCCCUGUAGUCCCUGUCUCUUAUAC
This 301-nucleotide ribosomal RNA is filed under the name uncultured bacterium. RNAcentral's name for it is "partial 16S ribosomal RNA". It matches the Rfam family "Bacterial small subunit ribosomal RNA", at positions 509 to 807 of the family's 1533-position model. The record is from RNAcentral.